GAGAAAUGGUAAACUACGUAGACUAAGCACGUUUAAGCAGACGUAGAGAAGUUUUCUGUACUAGGAUUACUCUUAAGUGCUGCUGUGAUACAAACUAAUUCUGUUUAUUUUGAACUGGACGAUGUGCAUUCUGUUCUGGGAUUUCUCCGGUUGGGGGUUUUUUUGGACGGCCGAUAUCUGAACGAGCCAGUGGAGUUCCGGAAGCAGAAGGGUCCCGCCGCCAUCUUUGUGACUGUGAAGCCUGGGACAACGCAGAGGGACUGGUGCUGCUGGAGCUAGCUGUUUUAAUGGACAACAGAUAAGUUUAUUGAACAAAAAAGGGGGGCCCUAAUCCUUUAAUUUUUUUUUCAUUCCACAAAUUAGUCCUUCAUGAACAU
Xiphophorus couchianus (Monterrey platyfish) is the source of this 377-nucleotide long non-coding RNA. RefSeq lists it as uncharacterized. NCBI's taxonomy places the organism in Eukaryota, Metazoa, Chordata, Actinopteri, Cyprinodontiformes, Poeciliidae. The transcript is spliced from 2 exons. The record is from RefSeq and is a predicted model, not a curated record.